ACGGCUCAGUAACACGUGGACAACCUACCCUGAGGUCGGGGAUAAACCCGGGAAACUGGGUAUAAUACCCGAUAGAUCUAGAUCGCUGGAAUGCUUUUAGGUCUAAAGCUCCGACGCCUCAGGAUGGGUCUGCGGCCUAUCAGGGUAGUAGUGGGUGUAAAGUACCUACUAGCCUACGACGGGUACGGGUUGUGAGAGCAAGAGCCCGGAGAUGGAUUCUGAGACACGAAUCCAGGCCCUACGGGGUGCAGCAGGCGCGAAACCUUUACAAUGCUGGCAACAGCGAUAAGGGGACCUCGAGUGCUACGAUACAAUCGUGGCUGUCUAGUUGCCUAAAAAGCAAUUGAUAGCAAGGGCCGGGCAAGACCGGUGCCAGCCGCCGCGGUAACACCGGCGGCUCGAGUGGUAACCGCUAUUAUUGGGUCUAAAGGGUCUGUAGCCGGCUUAGUUAGUCUCUUGAGAAAUCUGGCCGCUCAACGGUCAGGCGUUCAGGGGAUACUGCUAAAGCUCGAGACCGGGAGAGGUGAGAGGUACUUCAGGGGUAGGGGUGAAAUCUUGUAAUCCUUGUAGGACCACCAGUGGCGAAGGCGUCUCACCAGAACGGAUCUGACGGCAAGGGACGAAAGCUAGGGGCACGAACCGGAUUAGAUACCCGGGUAGUCCUAGCCGUAAACGAUACUCGCUAGGUGUCGGCCACGGUGCGACCGUGGUCGGUGCCGUAGGGAAGCCGUGAAGCGAGCCACCUGGGAAGUACGGCCGCAAGGCUGAAACUUAAAGGAAUUGGCGGGGGAGCAC
Molecule: ribosomal RNA, 795 nt
Filed under: uncultured archaeon
Lineage: Archaea
Description: bacterial SSU rRNA
Rfam family: Archaeal small subunit ribosomal RNA
Source: RNAcentral